GACGAACGCUGGCGGCGUGCCUAAUACAUGCAAGUCGAACGAGAGCGACCGGUGCUUGCACUGGUCAAUCUAGUGGCGAACGGGUGAGUAACACGUGGGUAACCUGCCCAUCAGAGGGGGAUAACAUCCGGAAACGGAUGCUAAAACCGCAUAGGUCUUCGAGCCGCAUGGCUUGAAGAGGAAAAGAGGCGCAAGCUUCUGCUGAUGGAUGGACCCGCGGUGCAUUAGCUAGUUGGUGAGGUAACGGCUCACCAAGGCCGUGAUGCAUAGCCGACCUGAGAGGGUGAUCGGCCACAUUGGGACUGAGACACGGCCCAAACUCCUACGGGAGGCAGCAGUAGGGAAUCUUCCGCAAUGGACGCAAGUCUGACGGAGCAACGCCGCGUGAGUGAAGAAGGUGUUCGGAUCGUAAAACUCUGUUGUUAGAGAAGAACAAGUGCUAGAGUAACUGUUAGCGACUUGACGGUAUCUAAACAGAAAGCCACGGCUAACUACGUG
This 498-nucleotide ribosomal RNA is filed under the name uncultured bacterium. RNAcentral describes it as "partial 16S ribosomal RNA". It matches the Rfam family "Bacterial small subunit ribosomal RNA", at positions 28 to 507 of the family's 1533-position model. The record is from RNAcentral.